This 642-nucleotide long non-coding RNA is filed under the name Salvia miltiorrhiza (redroot sage). RNAcentral's name for it is "long non-coding RNA (SMIL_LNC005290)". Lineage: Eukaryota; Viridiplantae; Streptophyta; Magnoliopsida; Lamiales; Lamiaceae. The record is from RNAcentral.
CCCCGGCCAAGACCCUCCAAUUCUCAUCCACAUUGUGCUCCUCCAAGACCUUCUGGCCGCCCUACUUGAAGCACCCUCCCCUCCCUCCCCACCCAUGGUUCAAAAACCUCCCCAAGCCCACCCUACCGCCCUUCGGCCACCCUUGGCCCCCUCUCCCGCCCCUCUACAAGCACAAGCCACUCCCACCACCCGUUCCCGUCUACACACCUACGCCAAAACCACCCGUGGUCAAGCCCCCCGUAUACACGCCUAAGCCUAAACCACCCGUGGUCAAGCCCCCGGUCUACACACCUAAGCCUAAACCACCCGUGGUCAAGCCCCCGGUCUACACACCUAAGCCCCCUGUCUACACACCAAAGCCAAAGCCACCCGUGGUCAAGCCCCCGGUCUACACACCUAAGCCCCCCGUGUACACACCAAAGCCAAAGCCACCCGUGGUCAAGCCCCCCGUCUACACACCUAAGCCCCCCGUCUACACGCCAAAGCCAAAGCCACCGGUGGUCAAGCCCCCGGUGUACACGCCUAAGCCAAAACCACCGGUGGUGAAGCCCUGCCCGCCAAUCGUGAAGAAGCCACUCCCGCCACCGGUGCCCGUGUACAAGCCCCCAUUGCCACCACCAAUCAAGAAGAAGCCCUGCCCGC